Sus scrofa (pig) is the source of this 1013-nucleotide non-coding RNA. The record is from RefSeq and is a predicted model, not a curated record. Lineage: Eukaryota; Metazoa; Chordata; Mammalia; Artiodactyla; Suidae.
UCAGGUAUUCUGGUACCUGCCCACAGCAGGGAGAACAACAGACCACAUGUCCAGUCCUUGCCCAGCCCAGAUUAUGCUAUAAAGACGUUUUUUGAAAGAGAAAGAAAGAGGUGACAUUCUGUGGAGGGAUCUUAAGGGACCAGGCCUAAUCACAUCGGGGACUCGAGGCCUCCCUUCCAGGCUUGGCAGGCAGAGUAUCUCAAGAUGAAGAGAAAGACAUUUUCCCUUGCAUGCUGGCCGCUGUUUCAUCUUCUACUACUCUUAGGAAACGCUGUAACUUCUAAUGCUAACACUACAGCCACCACCCUUGGACAAACCACAUCACCCAGGGGAACUAACACAACAGCUAUAACCUCCAGUGGGAACAUCACGACCACCUCCCUCGGACCAACCACACCAUCCAGGGGAACUAACACAACAGCUAUAACCUCCAGUGGGAACAUCACGACCACCUCCCUCGGACCAACCACACCGUCCAGGGAAACUAACACAACGGCUAUAACCUCCAGUGACACCAGCACAAGUACUGCCCCUCCAAGGAAAGAGGAGAACCUUAGCGGACAACUGACACCAUGGGAAGUUGUUCUGGUCACUCUGGCCUCGGUUGCAAUGGCUGUGAUUCUCGUCACCGGGCUUCUCUUCCAUUUCAGAAACUCUCCAGGCCUCAGAAACCUCUUCGAUGUUAAUCUCUUACCAACUGCAUGGCCAAGCCCCUACGGGACCAGGGCAACUGCAACUGACUUCAGAGGAGACCCUUCUCCCGUAGUCAUGGAGCUGACUGGGAGGCGGGAAUAGCACUGAGCUCCCUGAAGGCAGACGCAUCACCAAUGUGUGGGGGUAGGGGGCUGACCUGGGGGAGCCUGAGUAUUCCUCCUGUCCGAAGGACUGUCCCUCCCAGCUCCAUUUCAGCCUCUGACUGUCCUCCUUCCCACUUGGUUUUUCCAGACCAAAACAAGGAGGCUGUAGCUGUGAACGAAUUAUUAAAUAAACAAUUCUGAUAUAUGUGGAACCAG